Long non-coding RNA from Capsicum annuum, 295 nucleotides. RefSeq lists it as uncharacterized. The transcript has 3 exons. The record is from RefSeq and is a predicted model, not a curated record. Lineage: Eukaryota; Viridiplantae; Streptophyta; Magnoliopsida; Solanales; Solanaceae.
UUAAUUGCUCAACUUGCAUGUAAUCUUUCACGAUUUUUUGUUGAAUAUUCGCUCCUUUGUUUUUUGGUAUAGUGCCCGCAUAUGCUGUUUUAUGGUCCACCUGGAACUGGAAAGACCACCACUGCUCUUGCCAUUGCCCAUCAGCUUUUCGGACCUGAGCUGUAUAAGUCGAGGGUAUUGGAGCUAAAUGCUAGUGAUGACCGUGGUAUCAAUGUAGUUCGCACAAAAAUUAAGAACUUUGCUGCUGUUGCUGUAGGCUCUAGUAGGCAAGGUGGUUAUCCCUGUCCACCUUUUA